CAAAGUUGACUUACCUUUUCCGUCACACAUCCAUUUAGAACUCCAAAGUUAAUCGUGCUUGGGCGAGAGUUGUACUAGGAUGGGUGACCUAUCGGGAAGUGAUUCGCGAUAGCGUGCG
Molecule: non-coding RNA, 118 nt
Organism: Brassica oleracea var. oleracea
Lineage: Eukaryota; Viridiplantae; Streptophyta; Magnoliopsida; Brassicales; Brassicaceae
Source: Rfam